GGACUCUGGAGAAUCUCAUUGAAUUGAGUGCCGAAGGUGCAAGGCGGCCCAGCCGCCGAAUCUCUCAGGCAAAAGGACAGAGCGG
RNAcentral lists this non-coding RNA (85 nucleotides) under uncultured Angelakisella sp. RNAcentral describes it as "Glycine riboswitch". It matches the Rfam family "Glycine riboswitch aptamer", at positions 9 to 86 of the family's 94-position model. From Rfam's summary of the family: This family represents the bacterial glycine riboswitch. Glycine riboswitches usually consist of two metabolite-binding aptamers domains with similar structures in tandem. Lineage: Bacteria; Bacillati; Bacillota; Clostridia; Eubacteriales; Oscillospiraceae. The record is from RNAcentral.